Long non-coding RNA from Cavia porcellus (domestic guinea pig), 1266 nucleotides. RefSeq lists it as uncharacterized. The record is from RefSeq and is a predicted model, not a curated record. Lineage: Eukaryota; Metazoa; Chordata; Mammalia; Rodentia; Caviidae. The transcript is spliced from 3 exons.
UGCAUGCCGGAUCAAGUGGUGCCCAGUGUGGGGGCUCCUGGCAUGGGGGAGUUAACGAGGGAGCCGUUUGAGAACGCCGGUGAGAAGUAAAAACAAAUUAAAUCAAGGAUCAAAGCUAAGACUGAAAACAAACUAAAUCAAGGAUCGAAGCUAAGAGUGAAAGCAAACUGAAUCAAGGACCGAGGCCUGCAUGGACAACUGCCCAAUGUGCCGCCCGAGUCACGGCCUCGCGAUCACCGCGUCUGAUGACUUGGCAGUGCCACGGCUCCCAACAUCAAGCAUUGAGCGAACAUGAAUUGUUCAUGAGAAGCCUCAGCAAGGCAUGAAAGACAAGAGGGACAACACAACUCCUCAGAGCCUUAUGCUGCCUGCUCAGCCUUCUCCUCGGACCGUACCACACCCAUGGUGGAUUUAGAACCCCGCCAAACAGACUACAACUGCUGACAGCCAUGCACAGAACCCCCUGUGACUGCGGAAGAGGCUCUUUUCGGUCUGGAGGAACACAAACCAGCCAAAUAGAUUGCGGAAAAAUGUUGCUUCUAUGUCAAUCAGUCCGGUGUUAUGCGAUGCAAGCUCCAAGAAAUAGAAGAACGACUUCAACAGCGAUGACAACAAAUGGCCGCUAACCCCUUCUCCUCGAUGUGUGUCGGGGGGGAGCUUUUCCCUUACCUAGUGCCCCUUUUGGGUCCCUAGCUGCCCUGUUGCUUCUCCUUUCUGUAGAUCCUUAUAUUUUUCAGAGGAUUAUGACGCUCAUUAAUAACCAGAUAGACAUGUUUAUGGCAAAGCCCAUUCAGGUACACUAUCACCAGCUGGAGAUGGCAGAUCACAAACCUACCAGGAAGGAAUUCCCACGAGUGGCCCAUAUGACGAUGUGGCCUAACUGUACUGGGGCAAUGGACAGGCAUCCAGAGACGGGCAACUAGGACAUGCAUGAUUACAUGGCUGGCUGCUUAAGACAGGCACAGGACCAACUGCUGUCCUGCAAGCCCAUGAUGGGUAAGGCCUGGUUGGGUUCAUGUAAUGAGGUUCCUUGGCCUAAGACAGGCGCUGUCCUCACAGAGCCUGCCAUAAUCCUGAUUAAAUAAUAUAGAAAGGGAGGAGAUGUAGGGAGCAGCAUGACCGCCCCAUUGCUUCCUCCCUGCCUCUCUCCUAUGGGCAUCUGAUGCACCUGCCUACAUUAACCAUAAUCCUCUCCUGCUUACGUCAUAUACCUGGACGUGACGAUAACCCUGUUGUAUUCAUCCCCAUAGCCUUUUCCUGUCCCAU